This 433-nucleotide ribosomal RNA is filed under the name uncultured bacterium. RNAcentral describes it as "partial 16S ribosomal RNA". It matches the Rfam family "Bacterial small subunit ribosomal RNA", at positions 29 to 507 of the family's 1533-position model. The record is from RNAcentral.
AACGAACGCUGGCGGCAUGCCUAACACAUGCAAGUCGAACGAGACCUCCGGGUCUAGUGGCGCACGGGUGCGUAACGCGUGGGAACCUGCCCUUAGGUUCGGAAUAACUCCCCGAAAGGGGUGCUAAUACCGGAUAAUGUCUUCGGACCAAAGAUUUAUCGCUUUUGGAUGGGCGCGCGUUGGAUUAGCUAGUUGGUAGGGUACAAGCCUACCAAGGCGACGAUCCAUAGCUGGUCUGAGAGGAGGAUCAGCCACACUGGGACUGAGACACGGCCCAGUCUGGUACGGGAGGCAGCAGUGGAGAAUAUUGGACGAUGGGCGAAAGCCUGAUACAGCAAUGCCGGGUGAGUGAUGAAGGCCUUAGGGUUGUAAAUCUGUUUUACCCGGGAUGUUAAUGACAGUACCGGGAGAAUAAGCUCCGGCUAACUCCGUG